Nycticebus coucang (slow loris) is the source of this 1499-nucleotide RNA transcript. It is a transcript of the gene named yippee like 3, with no coding region annotated. Lineage: Eukaryota; Metazoa; Chordata; Mammalia; Primates; Lorisidae. The transcript has 5 exons. The record is from RefSeq and is a predicted model, not a curated record.
CGGCGGCAGCAGCUGGUCUCGGUGUAAACAAGUCGAGGCGGUUGCGAACCCGGGCCUGGGGGGACGGCGCCCACCAGGAGCGCCCCCCACUCCCAGGCCAGGCCACCCCAGCGGACCGGGCCCCCGCGCGCCCAGGAGAGGUGAGGCCCACACAGUCAAGGCUGCGCGCCGUUCCGUGCCCCCGCCCGGCCUGUGAGGACUGCCCCUUCCCCCGGCUCCCGCCUCCAACCCCGCGCCCCAGGUGAGCCCCGGGGUCUCAGGUAAGGUUCUGCGAUGCAGGUAAGAUUCCCUCUGCGUAGAUAAGGCCUUAGCACCCUCAGGUAUGAGCCCCUCCCCUCCUAGGUUAUUCUCCACCUUCAGCAAGGCCUCCUGCUUCCUCCAGGUGAGAGACCCUCUCCCAGAUAACUCUCUGCACCUUAAGUGAAGCCCUAGUCACUGUCCAAAUGAGGUGCUAAGGACCAACCAAUUCAUAACCACCACCACCACCCCCUCCAUGCCUCUCCUAAACUGGGAACUGACAGCCCAUCCACUCUAAAGCCCCUUCCUCCAGCUUCAACUGCCAGGUCAGCAGGGGUGAGGCUGGAAGCAGGUGGAUGACUCACCUUGGGCUCCUCCUAGCCUCAGUUUCCCCAUUGAUGCAACCUGGGGCCUCCUCACUGAGUCAAAACUGAAAUGACUCAAGUCCCUGGAGAGGCUCCUGGCUCUGGGGAAAGUAGUGAGCAGCCAAGUGUGACAGAGAGUGCCCAUGGCUCUAGGAGUGCCUGUGUGUGUGUGGUCCAGGUCCUCACAGUCCACUUACUCCUUGGCAGGCACUGGGCUCCCUCUGCUCCCCUUGGGCUGCUCCUCGCGUGGGGCCACUGCCCCCGGCCCCCGCCAUGGUGCGUAUUUCAAAGCCCAAGACGUUUCAGGCCUACUUGGAUGAUUGUCACCGGAGGUAUAGCUGUGCCCACUGCCGUGCUCACCUGGCCAACCACGACGACCUCAUCUCCAAGUCCUUCCAGGGCAGUCAGGGGCGUGCCUACCUCUUCAACUCCGUGGUGAACGUGGGCUGCGGACCAGCUGAGGAGCGGGUGCUGCUGACAGGCCUCCAUGCUGUCGCUGACAUCCACUGCGAGAACUGCAAGACCACUUUGGGCUGGAAAUAUGAACAGGCCUUUGAGAGCAGCCAGAAGUACAAAGAGGGGAAGUACAUCAUUGAACUCAACCACAUGAUCAAAGACAACGGCUGGGACUGACCCCUGCUCCUGGCGCAUGUGGCUCCAGCCCGGCCUGGCCGCCAGGGGGCGCCACUGGCUUAUCUCCGCCAGAAGGGAGCUCUGGACCCUCAAGGCUCCUGCAGAGGAAGGACCCCAGCUCCUAUAUGGCCUGUGUGCUGCUCUCUUGGCCCCAGUGCACCGUCUGCUCUGUGAACUUCUCCCUCCAGGCCCCUCUUACCCCACGCGUGUCUGUUCCCCUCGUUCUGUAGCGUUUGUACAUAAUAAAACAAUGUUGUGGAGACA